RNAcentral lists this ribosomal RNA (433 nucleotides) under uncultured bacterium. RNAcentral's name for it is "partial 16S ribosomal RNA". It matches the Rfam family "Bacterial small subunit ribosomal RNA", at positions 29 to 507 of the family's 1533-position model. The record is from RNAcentral.
AACGAACGCUGGCGGCAUGCCUAACACAUGCAAGUCGAACGAAGUCUUCGGACUUAGUGGCGCACGGGUGCGUAACGCGUGGGAAUCUGCCCUUGGGUACGGAAUAACUCAGAGAAAUUUGUGCUAAUACCGUAUAAUGUCUUCGGACCAAAGAUUUAUCGCCCAAGGAUGAGCCCGCGUAAGAUUAGCUAGUUGGUGGGGUAAAAGCCUACCAAGGCGACGAUCUUUAGCUGGUCUGAGAGGAUGAUCAGCCACACUGGGACUGAGACACGGCCCAGACUCCUACGGGAGGCAGCAGUGGGGAAUAUUGGACAAUGGGCGAAAGCCUGAUGCAGCAAUGCCGCGUGAGUGAUGAAGGCCCUAGGGUUGUAAAGCUCUUUUACCAGGGAUGAAAAUGACAGUACCUGGAGAAUAAGCCCCGGCUAACUCCGUG